RNAcentral lists this ribosomal RNA (253 nucleotides) under uncultured bacterium. RNAcentral describes it as "partial 16S ribosomal RNA". It matches the Rfam family "Bacterial small subunit ribosomal RNA", at positions 524 to 776 of the family's 1533-position model. The record is from RNAcentral.
GACAGAGGUCCCGAGCGUUAGGCGGAAUCACUGGGCUUAAAGCAUGUGUAGGCGGAUUUGCAAGUACCUUGUGAAAUCCCACAGCUUAACUGUGGAACUGCUUGGUAUACUGCUUAUCUUGGGCCACUUAGGGGUUACCGGAACAAACGGUGGAGCGGUGAAAUGCGUAGAUAUCGUUUGGAACGCCAAUGGUGAAAACAGGUAACUGGGAGUGUGCCGACGCUGAGACACGAAAGCCAGGGGAGCGAACGGG